CGGUCUGUCUGUCGUUCCGUAUUAAGUGUCCGCUCUCUAAUUCAAGUAGUUUUCAUCCGAUCUUCACCAAACUUGGUCAGAAGUUGUAUCUACAUGAUGUCUAGGCCAAGUUUGAACAUGGGCCUUGCCAGGUCAAAAACUAGGUCACGGGGUCACUUAGUGCGUUUUAAACAUUCAGCAUGUUGUCCGCUCUCUAAUUCAAGUAGUUUUCAUCCGAUCUUCACCAAACUUGGUCAGAAGUUGUAUCUAGAUGAUCUUAAGGCCAAGUUCGAACAUGGGCCUUGCCGGGUCAAAAACUAGGUCAUGGCGUCACUUAGUGCGUUUUUUAACAUUCAGCAUGGUGUCCUCUCUCUUAUUAACUUAUCUAUUUUUUGAAAAAAAAUUAUGAGCUAUUGUCAUCACCUUGGCGUCGGCGUCUGCGUCGGCGUCCGGUUAAGUUUUGCGUUUAGGUCCACUUUUCUCAGAAAGUAUCAAUGCUAUUGCAUUCAAACUUGGUACACU
Molecule: long non-coding RNA, 501 nt
Organism: Dreissena polymorpha
Lineage: Eukaryota; Metazoa; Mollusca; Bivalvia; Myida; Dreissenidae
Exons: 2
Source: RefSeq, a predicted model, not a curated record